GAUCAUGGCUCAGGAUGAACGCUAGCUACAGGCUUAACACAUGCAAGUCGAGGGGCAGCAUGAUUGAAGCUUGCUUCAAUCGAUGGCGACCGGCGCACGGGUGAGUAACACGUAUCCAACCUGCCGAUAACUCGGGGGUAGCCUUUCGAAAGAAAGAUUAAUACCCGAUAGUAUAGUAUUUCCGCAUGGUUUCACUAUUAAAGAAUUUCGGUUAUCGAUGGGGAUGCGUUCCAUUAGAUAG
Molecule: ribosomal RNA, 241 nt
Filed under: uncultured bacterium
Lineage: Bacteria
Description: partial 16S ribosomal RNA
Rfam family: Bacterial small subunit ribosomal RNA
Source: RNAcentral